RNAcentral lists this ribosomal RNA (109 nucleotides) under Cebus imitator (Panamanian white-faced capuchin). Lineage: Eukaryota; Metazoa; Chordata; Mammalia; Primates; Cebidae. The record is from RNAcentral.
GCCCUACCACCUGAGCAUGCUCAAUCUCCUCUGAUCUUGGAAGCUAAGGAGGGGUGGGCCUAAUUAGUACUUGGAUGAGAAAGAGUUGAGAGAGAGGCAAGAGAGAGCC